Heterocephalus glaber (naked mole-rat) is the source of this 1868-nucleotide long non-coding RNA. RefSeq lists it as uncharacterized. Lineage: Eukaryota; Metazoa; Chordata; Mammalia; Rodentia; Bathyergidae. The record is from RefSeq and is a predicted model, not a curated record.
UCUCCUGACUAUGUCUAUUUGUCCAAAUUCUACUCUCUCAUUUCAUUUCUAUUUCCCCUCACCCCACACAACACAUACAUGACUCAAACCUCAUAAACAAUGCAUGAAAGUGCACACAUCUCACACAAAUACACAUAUCACAUAGUUUUCACAUACUACAGAAACACACACAUUUACCUCAUAAACAGAACACAUUAACAUAUUCACUCUCCACACACACGCACACCUCAAAGACACACAGAACACAGUAAAAUAUACACAUUUCACUCACACACUUCCAUAUAUACCUGUCACACCACACAUAUACGUACCUCACAGACACACAUAACACAUGCCACACACACUACACUCACAUAAAAACUCAUGCAUUUAACAUUCAUAUAUAUAAACACAAAUCACAUAUAAAUCUCACAUACAUGCAAUCAACUCACAGGGACACACAUGUAUGUUCACAUACAGGGAAGAAAAGUUGUGAAUGUGGUCCAUCAGGUUACAAGACAUUAGACUAUAUUCUCCAGGGAAGGACACAGACUGAGUUCUUGAGAGUCUUCUCAAAUAAGAAUUACAGAUGAAAAGAUACAAGCCCCAUCUGCUAUGCUUCUACUUAUUUUUCAAAAAGGCACAGCAUAAGAGAGGAUCUGAUAAAAAGGGCAUGGCCAGAAAGACUCUUCAGAUGUUUUCCAAGCAUCCUGUCUUCUUCAGCAUUCAACAUCCACAGAAACAGAACACGUUAAAGGUUCAGCCUUAGCCUUUCCUGGAAGUUUUCAAAUUAACCUAGUGAACCAAAACUAGGUCUGUUUACCAUGGCUAAAUAAUUAUAUCUGUACUAUGAUGAACUCUUAGAAAACUGUAACCUCAGGAACAAAAAAUAACUUAAUUUUUUGUGCCUCAGGUCCCUCACCUGAAUUGUAAAUGUUAAUAAUACCUACCUAAAAGUGUCUCCUGUUGUUUGCUGUACCAGCACUUACAUUGUACUAUCUAUGUGUUAUUCAAUGACACAAAAUUAGUGUAAACUGAUCAAAGAAAACAUUUUCAUGGUGUUUAGACUGAGGUACAUUCUAUUUGCCACCAUAUAUCUUUUAAUAACUCAUAUCUUAAUUUUUAAAACACCUACAAAGGAAAUUGUUAAAAUCCUUCCAUACAUAAGCAUCUAAAGUAGGAUUAUUAUUCUCCAAGGCAUAUCUGACAAAUUUAGAAAUUCCUAAAGAAUACUCAGCCAUAUUUCCACUUACAAGCACAUAACAUAGCAUGAUGAACACAAUUUGCUUUCUUCAGUGCCCUCAUAAGAGAAAGAUUUUUUACUUCUCCACUAAAGCUAUAAGUUAGAGAAAUAUCCAGUUUGUAAGAACAAAUGCUGUUAGAACCAUCUUGCAAUUGUGCUUAACUGAACAUUUCAUUUUCUUAUUUCCACUAAGACAAAGAAGGAUUUUACAUAGUGAAAAGAGAAACAAACUGUUGUUUUCGUUAUCCAUGGCUGCAUUCUCCUUGGCUUUCAAGAAAUGCUAGACAUGUCUUUCAAAUUGUAGUAAUUUUAAAAGCUGUACAUGAUGAUAAAAAAGAGGGUUACUCAUCAGAUUUGGGAAGGAAGAUGUUUUUUGAAAAUAUUGAGAUGGUUUUUAAAGGAUACUCAUCUGAAAUACAAUGAAUGCACCUGCUCAUUGCUCUUAUAACCAAAGCCAGUCAUUUGUGCAACUUAAAGAAGAGGCUCUUCUAUCUCACAUAACAAGACAUAUGAGGGGCCUUCAUGUUGUAUGUACAACUUUGAGUCACAUCAUACACCAAAGACUCUACCUCUUUCUCUACAUGUAGCCCAUGGCAUGCUAGUAAAGGUUAUGGUGAUAAAUUGGCUGUACAGGAAGAAAACAAUA